This 734-nucleotide ribosomal RNA is filed under the name uncultured Inocybe. RNAcentral describes it as "partial 28S ribosomal RNA". It matches the Rfam family "Eukaryotic large subunit ribosomal RNA", at positions 238 to 962 of the family's 3401-position model. The record is from RNAcentral. Lineage: Eukaryota; Fungi; Basidiomycota; Agaricomycetes; Agaricales; Cortinariaceae.
UGUACAUUAUGGUGUGCUCUCGAAGAGUCGAGUUGUUUGGGAAUGCAGCUCAAAAUGGGUGGUAAAUGCCAUCUAAAGCUAAAUAUUGGCGAGAGACCGAUAGCGAACAAGUACCGUGAGGGAAAGAUGAAAAGAACUUUGGAAAGAGAGUUAAACAGUACGUGAAAUUGCUGAAAGGGAAACGCUUGAAGUCAGUCGCGUUGGCUAGAAAUCAACCUUGCUUUUGCUUUGUGUACUUUCUGGUUGACGGGUCAGCAUCAAUUUUGACCACUGGAUAAAGUCUUUGGGAAUGUGGCAUCUUCGGAUGUGUUAUAGCCCAUUGUCGCAUACGGUGGUUGGGAUUGAGGAACUCAGCACGCCGCAAGGCCGGGUUUCGACCACGUUCGUGCUUAGGAUGCUGGCAUAAUGGCUUUAAUCGACCCGUCUUGAAACACGGACCAAGGAGUCUAACAUGCCUGCGAGUGUUUGGGUGGAAAAACCCAUGCGCGCAAUGAAAGUGAAAGUUGAGAUCCUCUUCAAAGGGGGAGCAUUGACGCCCGGACCAGACCUUUUGUGACGGAUCCGCGGUAGAGCAUGCAUGUUGGGACCCGAAAGAUGGUGAACUAUGCCUGAAUAGGGUGAAGCCAGAGGAAACUCUGGUGGAGGCUCGUAGCGAUUCUGACGUGCAAAUCGAUCGUCAAAUUUGGGUAUAGGGGCGAAAGACUAAUCGAACCAUCUAGUAGCUGGUUCCUGCC